Molecule: long non-coding RNA, 841 nt
Organism: Equus quagga
Lineage: Eukaryota; Metazoa; Chordata; Mammalia; Perissodactyla; Equidae
Exons: 4
Source: RefSeq, a predicted model, not a curated record
GCUGGAGCAUCUCUGCUGCCUCCCAGAGGGCCCAUGGGACUCAGGGUCUGGCUGGAAGAAGAGCCCCGUUUGUGUGUGACCAAGACUGCUUGUCAGCAAGACAAGCUUGUCAGGCACCUUAUUCACGCUGUUCAGGGUUAGAAGAGAUGGCGUACUUUACCAUCUGGAGUUUCUCUGCCUCGUUGAUGAUGGAAGCGCAAACCUGCCGGUUUAUAGGAGAUGAUAGAUAACACCUUGUAACGUCUGAGUUGCAAAAAUAUCUGCCUCUAAGAACUCAGGAGGACCUACUUUGUGGGAGCAAAGAUAGUGAGUCAAAGCCGCAGGCUUGGAGAGGAGCGUUCGUUUGAGCCUCUUCACUCAGUCGGGAGAUUUCCUAGGCAACCAUUUAUGUGGUCGUUAAAGGAUGGGGAACUCAGAGGUCUCUUGGAUGGCUGGAAGGAUACGGGAAAUGUUUCUCUUCCUCUGUGAUCCACUAACACUCCCAGACGUUCUGUAGCACGGACUUUGAUUACAUUCUAUUUCAAUGAAUAAGGUGGCUUUUUUCAUGCACCAGUGAAAGAGGAAAGUCCUACAGGUUAUGUGACAGAUUCAUUUUCGCUAGUGUUAGCAAUAAUCUGAAAAGAACCAAAAUAUUAAAAUAUUGGCAGUGCUGAUUUUAAAUAGGGUUAUGUUAUGAUCCUGGCUCAGGUGUUGUGUGGAACUGUUAAACGUAAGAUGAAAUAUAGAAAAUGGCCUUUUUCUCCCAGAGACUGAGAGGGCCCACCCCUGACCCUGAGCACCUGUGGGCGUUAUACGAACGUUUGGAGCUUCUGGCCUCAAUAAAGCAAAUUUUUUCUUUGGA